Molecule: ribosomal RNA, 1029 nt
Filed under: uncultured bacterium
Lineage: Bacteria
Description: bacterial SSU rRNA
Rfam family: Bacterial small subunit ribosomal RNA
Source: RNAcentral
GAUAAACGCUAGCGGCAGGCCUAACACAUGCAAGUCGAGGGGCAGCGGAUGGAGUACUUCGGUACUCUUGCCGGCGACCGGCGGACGGGUGCGUAACGCGUAUGCAACCUACCUUCAACAGGGGGAUAAUCCGAAGAAAUUUGGUCUAAUACCCCAUAAUAUUCCGGCAGGCAUCUGUCGGAGUUGAAAGCUUCGGUGGUUGGAGAUGGGCAUGCGUUGUAUUAGCUGGAUGGUGAGGUAACGGCUCACCAUGGCGAUGAUACAUAGGGGGACUGAGAGGUUUUCCCCCCACACUGGUACUGAGACACGGACCAGACUCCUACGGGAGGCAGCAGUGAGGAAUAUUGGUCAAUGGACGGAAGUCUGAACCAGCCAUGCCGCGUGCAGGAUGAAUGUGCUAUGCAUUGUAAACUGCUUUUGUACGAGGGUAAACGCAGAUACGUGUAUCUGUCUGAAAGUAUCGUACGAAUAAGGAUCGGCUAACUCCGUGCCAGCAGCCGCGGUAAUACGGAGGAUCCGAGCGUUAUCCGGAUUUAUUGGGUUUAAAGGGUGCGUAGGCUGUUUUUUAAGUUAGAGGUGAAAGCUCGACGCUCAACGUCGAAAUUGCCUCUGAUACUGAGAGACUAGAGUGUAGUUGCGGAAGGCGGAAUGUGUGGUGUAGCGGUGAAAUGCUUAGAUAUCACACAGAACACCGAUUGCGAAGGCAGCUUUCCAAGCUAUUACUGACGCUGAGGCACGAAAGCGUGGGGAGCGAACAGGAUUAGGUACCCUGGUAGUCCACGCAGUAAACGAUGAUAACUCGUUGCCGGCGAUACACAGUCGGUGACUUAGCGAAAGCGUUAAGUUAUCCACCUGGGGAGUACGUUCGCAAGAAUGAAACUCAAAGGAAUUGACGGGGGCCCGCACAAGCGGAGGAACAUGUGGUUUAAUUCGAUGAUACGCGAGGAACCUUACCCGGGCUUGAAAGUUAGCGACGGAUCGAGAAAUCGGUCUUCCCUUCGGGGCGCGAAACUAGGUGGAGGAAGGUGG